Molecule: ribosomal RNA, 247 nt
Filed under: uncultured archaeon
Lineage: Archaea
Description: partial 16S ribosomal RNA
Rfam family: Archaeal small subunit ribosomal RNA
Source: RNAcentral
CCGACGGUGAGAGGCGAAACCUAGGGGAGCGAGCCGGAUUAGAUACCCGGGUAGUCCUAGGCGUAAAUGAUGCGAGUUAAGUGUGGGGGCAUCUACGAGAUGGCCCUGUGCUGUAGGGUAGCCGUUAAACUCGCCGCCUGGGGAGUACGGUCGCAAGGCUGAAACUUAAAGGAAUUGGCGGGGGAGCACCACAAGAGGUGGAGGCUGCGGUUCAAUUGGACUCAACGCCGGAAAACUCACCGGGAGC